UACCUGGCGGCGGCUUACCAUGCNAGUCGAGCGGUAACAUUUCUAGCUUGCUAGAAGAUGACGAGCGGCGGACGGGUGAGUAAUACUUAGGAAUCUACCUAGUAGUGGGGGAUAGCUCGGGGAAACUCGAAUUAAUACCGCAUACGACCUACGGGAGAAAGGGGGCAACUUGUUGCUCUCGCUAUUAGAUGAGCCUAAGUCGGAUUAGCUAGAUGGUGGGGUAAGGGCCUACCAUGGCGACGAUCUGUAGCUGGUCUGAGAGGAUGAUCAGCCACACCGGGACUGAGACACGGCCCGGACUCCUACGGGAGGCAGCAGUGGGGAAUAUUGGACAAUGGGGGAAACCCUGAUCCAGCCAUGCCGCGUGUGUGAAGAAGGCCCUUUGGUUGUAAAGCACUUUAAGCAGUGAAGAAGACUCUUCGGUUAAUACCCGGAGACGAUGACAUUAGCUGCAGAAUAAGCACCGGCUAACUCUGUGCCAGCAGCCGCGGUAAU
Molecule: ribosomal RNA, 495 nt
Filed under: uncultured bacterium
Lineage: Bacteria
Description: bacterial SSU rRNA
Rfam family: Bacterial small subunit ribosomal RNA
Source: RNAcentral